GUUGUUGUAAGUUCGGAUGUAUAUUCUGAGAAGGGGACUGGUGAAGUCGUUUUUGAUGUGGUUGUUGAAGGCGAACUUGCAAUUGUUGGAGAAUGUGUCGAUUGCUCAGAAGUACUUUCAAUUAUUGAAGGGGAGGUUGUUGUAAGUUCGGAUGUAUAUUCUGAAGAGGGGACUGGUGUAGUCGUUUUUGAUGUGGUUGUUGAAGGCAAACUUGCAAUUGUUGGAGAACGUGUCGAUUGCUCAGAAGUACUUUCAAUUAUUGAAGGGGAGGUUGUUGUAAGUUCGGAUGUAUAUUCUGAAGAGGGGACUGGUGUAGUCGUUUUUGAUGUGGUUGUUGAAGGCAAACUUCCAAUUGUUGGAGAACGUGUCAAUUGCUCAGAAGUACUUUCAAUUAUUGAAGGGGAGGUUGUUGUAAGUUCAGAUGUAUAUUCUGAAGAGGGGACUGGUGAAGUCGUUUUUGAUGUGGUUGUUGAAGGUGAACUUGCAAUUGUUGGAGAAUGUGUCGAUUGUUCAGAAGUACUUACAAUUAUUGAAGAGGAGGUUGUUGUAAAUUCGGAUGUAUAUUCUGAAGAGGGGACUGGUGUAGUCGUUUUUGAUGUGGUUGUUAAAGGCAAACUUGCGAUUGUUGGAGAACGUGUCGAUUGCUCAGAAGUACUUUCAAUUAUUGAAGGGGAGGUUGUUGUAAGUUCGGAUGUAUAUUCUGAAGAGGGGACUGGUGUAGUCGUUUUUGAUGUGGUUGUUAAAGGCGAACUUGCAAUUGUUGGAGAACGUGUCGAUUGCUCAGAAGUACUUUCAAUUAUUGAAGGGGAGGUUGUUGUAAGUUCGGAUGUAUAUUCUGAAGAGGGGACUGGUGAAGUCGUUUUUGAUGUGGUUGUUGAAGGCGAACUUGCAAUUGUUGGAGAAUGUGUCGAUUGCUCAGAAGUACUUUCAAUUAUUGAAGGGGAGGUUGUUGUAAGUUCGGAUGUAUAUUCUGAAGAGGGGACUGGUGUAGUCGUUUUUGAUGUGGUUGUUGAAGGCAAACUUGCAAUUGUUGGAGAAUGUGUCGAUUGCUCAGAAGUACUUUCAAUUAUUGAAGGGGAGGUUGUUGUAAGUUCGGAUGUAUAUUCUGAAGAGGGGACUGGUGUAGUCGUUUUUGAUGUGGUUGUUGAAGGCAAACUUGCAAUUGUUGGAGAACGUGUCGAUUGCUCAGAAGUACUUUCAAUUAUUGAAUGGGAGGUUGUUGUAAGUUCGGAUGUAUAUUCUGAAGAGGUGACUGGUGUAGUCGUUUUUGAUGUGGUUGUUGAAGGCGUGGUUGACGUAGUUAACUCAGGUGAAAUUGCAGUUGAUAGAGAACGUGUCGAUUGUUCAGAAGUACUUACAAUUGUUGAAGGGGAGGUUGGUGUACCUUCAGAUGUAUAUGCUGAAGACGUGACUUGUGUAGUUAUUUUUGUUGUUGUUGUUGAAGGUGUGGUUGACGUUGUUAAAGGUUUGGUUGACGUUGGAGGAGUGCUAGAUAUAGUACUUCCUGAUGUUAUCUGUGCGGAUACUGUGGACAAAAAGUAGUUUGUGAGAUAAAGAUGUAAAAAUUCUGAUGCAGUGUUU
Clupea harengus (Atlantic herring) is the source of this 1581-nucleotide long non-coding RNA. NCBI's taxonomy places the organism in Eukaryota, Metazoa, Chordata, Actinopteri, Clupeiformes, Clupeidae. The record is from Ensembl.